This is a non-coding RNA of Pelobates cultripes (western spadefoot toad), 371 nucleotides long. The record is from the annotation of a GenBank genome assembly. NCBI's taxonomy places the organism in Eukaryota, Metazoa, Chordata, Amphibia, Anura, Pelobatidae.
GUUGUGUUUGCAGCAUAUUUACUGAAAUCAAAAGCUAUUUCAAUCAAAUUUAUAACAACAUUUUAACUUUUUAAACAUUUUAACAGGUCAUGUUACAUUUUAACAUAGGACCCCUUAUUUGAUUGCAGCUUCACAAGUCUUGCAUCCUUGAACUUGUGAGUUUUUGGACAGUUUCUGCUUGAAUUUGUUUGCAAGAUGUCAGAGCUGCUGUUUGGAUGUAAACGGCCUGCCACCCUCAUCUUUUGCUUGAGGAUACUCCAAAGGUUCUCAAUAGGAUUGAGGUCAGGGGAGGAUGGAGACCACACCAUGACUUUCUCUCCUUUUAUCCCCAUAGCAGCCAUUGAUGCAGAGGUAUUCUUUGCAGCAUGAGA